CGGACAGUGUCUGGUGGGUAGUUUGACUGGGGCGGUCUCCUCCUAAAGAGUAACGGAGGAGCACGAAGGUUGGCUAAUCCUGGUCGGACAUCAGGAGGUUAGUGCAAUGGCAUAAGCCAGCUUGACUGCGAGCGUGACGGCGCGAGCAGGUGCGAAAGCAGGUCAUAGUGAUCCGGUGGUUCUGAAUGGAAGGGCCAUCGCUCAACGGAUAAAAGGUACUCCGGGGAUAACAGGCUGAUACCGCCCAAGAGUUCAUAUCGACGGCGGUGUUUGGCACCUCGAUGUCGGCUCAUCACAUCCUGGGGCUGAAGUAGGUCCCAAGGGUAUGGCUGUUCGCCAUUUAAAGUGGUACGCGAGCUGGGUUUAGAACGUCGUGAGACAGUUCGGUCCCUAUCUGCCGUGGGCGCUGGAGAACUGAGGGGGGCUGCUCCUAGUACGAGAGGACCGGAGUGGACGCAUCACUGGUGUUCGGGUUGUCAUGCCAAUGGCACUGCCCGGUAGCUAAAUGCGGAAGAGAUAAGUGCUGAAAGCAUCUAAGCACGAAACUUGCCCCGAGAUGAGUUCUCCCUGAGACUUAGAGUCUCCUGAAGGAACGUUGAAGACGACGACGUUGAUAGGCCGGGUGUGUAAGCGCAGCGAUGCGUUGAGCUAACCGGUACUAAUGAACCGUGAGGCUUAACCUU
This 683-nucleotide ribosomal RNA is filed under the name Escherichia coli. RNAcentral describes it as "partial 23S ribosomal RNA". It matches the Rfam family "Bacterial large subunit ribosomal RNA", at positions 2248 to 2925 of the family's 2925-position model. The record is from RNAcentral. Lineage: Bacteria; Pseudomonadati; Pseudomonadota; Gammaproteobacteria; Enterobacterales; Enterobacteriaceae. RNAcentral also lists the same sequence under 10 other names.